UAAAGGUGUACAAUGACUUCAAUAAUGUAAAGGAAAACAAUUUUGAAAGACUUCAAAACGUAUCAGUACAGUAAUCAAAUGACUUCCAAAGACUGAGACUGAAGCAUACUUUCAACUUCUUCGUAUGGAGACCAUGGAUCAGAGGUGCAGAAUGAGACAUUUAGAAACACAAUGAACUGAGUUGGGUUUUUUAAAACCAUAUUUCUUGGUUAUGAGGAUUAUUGGAAAGAUCAAAUAGAUGAUAUCGAUGGCACAGUCUGGCACAAAGCACUAUUCUGAGCACUGAGAAUAUAAAUGAAGACAAAAGAUCCCACUGCUCUCAAGAAACUCAUAGUCUGAUGGGGAAGACAGCAUGCAAAAACUAUGUAUAAAAAAGGUAUGAAAUAAUAAACUAGGAGUCAUCUCAGAAAGAAGGCACCAAGAUUAAAGAUUGGAAAUCAAAGGUAGGGGUAGGGAGCAAGGCAAAGAUGGCACAAUAGAUAGAGUCGGGAAUCAGGAAGACUCAUCUUCCUGAGUUCAAAUCUGAUCUCAGACAAAUACUAGCUGUGUGUCACGGACAAAUCACUUCCCUCAGUUUCCUCAUCUGUAAAAUGAGCUGAAGAAGGAAAUGACAAACUGCUCCUGUAUCUCUGCCAACAUAAUUCCAAAAUAGAAUCAUGGAUAAUUGGAUAUGACAGAAAAUGACUGAACAACAGCAAAGGUAUAAGAAGCCUGAAAUGAGCAUGAUAAAUGUAGAAAUAUGUUUAGAAGAAUGGGUACAUAUUUAACCUACAGUGGAUUACUUGUUGUCUAGGAGAGGGAGGAAGGAGAGAGAAAAAUUGGGACAUACAGUUUUGCAAGAAUGACUGUUGAAAACUAUGUUUGCAUGUUUUUUUUCCCCUGAGGCAAUUUGGGCUAAGUGACUUGCCCAUGGUCACACAGCUAGGAAGUAUUAAGUGAGUGAGAUCAAAUUUGAACUCCGGUCCUCCUGACUUCAGGGCUGCUGCUGUAUCCACUGCGCCACCUAGCUGCCCUCUUUGCAUGUAUUUUGAAAAAUUAAAAAGCUAUUAUCAUUUGAAGAAGAAG
Molecule: long non-coding RNA, 1065 nt
Organism: Antechinus flavipes (yellow-footed antechinus)
Lineage: Eukaryota; Metazoa; Chordata; Mammalia; Dasyuromorphia; Dasyuridae
Exons: 3
Source: RefSeq, a predicted model, not a curated record